This is a long non-coding RNA of Agrilus planipennis (emerald ash borer), 1051 nucleotides long. RefSeq lists it as uncharacterized. The transcript is spliced from 4 exons. NCBI's taxonomy places the organism in Eukaryota, Metazoa, Arthropoda, Insecta, Coleoptera, Buprestidae. The record is from RefSeq and is a predicted model, not a curated record.
UACGAGUGUUUAAUUCUUUUUUUUUUAUCCAUAAUCCGCAUAUAUUUUGACUUUCAUUUGAGAGAAAGAUAGAAAAGUGAAAAGGAUUUCUGCGUAACAGAUAUCUAUUAAAUUAAUUAGUUAAUAAUUGUUUUUGUCCUAUUACACAGAUUAGUCAACAAUUGAGAAAGAUUUGAACUUAUAUCCUUUGCUUACUGAAAAGAUAAGUCGUCUCCUAUGGUGUUUUAGCUGUUAACCUUUCAUCUUGAAGAUUCUUGUGGUUAAUUAAGGAACAUUAGAAGAACUACGGAUACCAUUAAAUUAUGAAAUUAUGGAGCAUUGGUUGUAUUAGUCCUCAUUUGCCCCGGAAAGUAGGUGUGCCCAUGGUUCUAAAGAAAGCAUGAAAGUGCCUUUUUUUCGUUGGGAACGAAGCUGUUAAAUUUUCAUCCUGGAUGCUAUUGUAGUUAAUUAAGUUGAGCAUACAUGCUGUAUUAUAUAUAUGUAGUGUAUUUGUUUGAUUUUAAAAGACAAAAGGGUACGGUGUUACUUUAACAAUUUAUUUAUGCACUCUACUUAGUAGGGGGUCUAAAUUUAUUAUAUUUGAAUACUUUUUCAUAAUAUUAGAUUUUACAGGGAUGUGAGAAGAACUCCAGAUGCCAUUAAAUUGUGGAGCAUUGAUUGUGUCGGUUCUCAUUGACUCCAAAAAGUGACUGUUCCUAUAGUCAUAAAGAAAACAUGAAAGUGCCUUUCCAUUGGGAACGGAGACAAUGUGCUGAAGUGUGCUGCUGAAGGAGGGAUUUAUGACAAUAAACUGAUUGUCCCACAAAUGACGAGAGAUUGCAGUUAAUUUUGAUGUUACUGAAGCAACCGAUUUUUUGAUGUCUUCACUUUGCAACAUUAUGCAGUUAACUUUUACCGUAACGACAGGAGGCAGUUGGAAAUUAAUUAAUUUGGAAGAGACUGGAACAACAGAUUGUUUGCAGUGAUCCCUCCUAGAUUUGGUUUGCUCAUCACACUGAUAGACUUUAGAACGCCACUUUCUACAAUUAAUUAAGGUUAUACAAUAAAUGAG